AUUAAUACAAAUGUAUAAUGUGGUUAUAAAUUUUAAAACGAAUUAAAAUAUUAUAGGCUUCAUAUAUAGAGCAUUUACCGAAAACUCACUAUUUUCGUAGGGGGUACACAUAGAUUUUGAGAAAAAUUCAAAAAAUUUGACAAUACUGUUUAAAUGCAUAGUUUAAUCAUGUAAUAACAUAUGAUGAAUUUCAAGGAGGUUUGGAACCUUUGUUGUCUCUGUUUCUCUAGGGAAUAUCAAUUUUAUAGUGGUUAG
This 255-nucleotide long non-coding RNA is filed under the name Brassica napus (rape). RNAcentral's name for it is "long non-coding RNA (BNAP_LNC026664)". The record is from RNAcentral. Lineage: Eukaryota; Viridiplantae; Streptophyta; Magnoliopsida; Brassicales; Brassicaceae.